GAUGAAGAACGUAUCGAAAUGCGAUAAGUAGUGUGAAUUGCAGAAUUCAGUGAAUCAUCGAAUCUUUGAACGCACAUUGCGCCCCUUGGUAUUCCAUGGGGCAUGCCUGUUCGAGCGUCAUUUGUACCCUCAAGCUUUGCUUGGUGUUGGGCGUCUUGUCGUAUUACGACUCGCCUUAAAUACAUUGGCAGCCGGCACUUUGGCCUAGGAGCGCAGCACAUUUUGCGAUCGUAGCCCGUUGUACUGGCGUCCAUCAAGAACAUUUACCACGUUUGACCUCGGAUCAGGUAGGGAUACCCGCUGAACUUAAGCAUAUCAAUAAGCGGAGGA
RNAcentral lists this unclassified non-coding RNA (330 nucleotides) under soil metagenome. RNAcentral describes it as "partial contains 5.8S ribosomal RNA, internal transcribed spacer 2, and large subunit ribosomal RNA". The stretch from base 1 to 120 matches the Rfam family "5.8S ribosomal RNA", at positions 35 to 154 of the family's 154-position model. The record is from RNAcentral.